Molecule: long non-coding RNA, 6515 nt
Organism: Homo sapiens (human)
Lineage: Eukaryota; Metazoa; Chordata; Mammalia; Primates; Hominidae
Exons: 5
Source: RefSeq, a predicted model, not a curated record
AUCGUCUCUUGCCACUGCCAUGUAAGAACUGCCUUUUGCCCUCUGCCAUGAUUGUGAGACCUCCCAGCUAUGAUGGACUGUAAGUAAAAUUAAACCUCCUUUUCUUCCCAGUCUUGGGUAUGUAUCAGCAGCGUGAAAACGGACUAAUACACAUCCUUAGUUGGAAGGGAGCCAGAGGGGUCAGAAACAUCCUUUAUGGUGGAGGGGGCACUUUAUGUUGGUUGUCUAAGUGAGUUUGGGCUGCUAGAACAUGAACACCACAGACUGGGUGACUUAACAGAAAUGUAUUCCUCACAGUAUGAAGUCUGGGAAGUCUAAGAUCAAAGUGCUGGCUGAUUUGGUUGUUGGUGAGAGCUCACUUCCUGGUUUGUGGAGGGAUGCCUUCUCACAGUAUCCUCACGUGACUGAGGGAAAGCUAGCUCACUCCCUGGCUGCUCCUUAAAAGACACUCAUCCCAUUCAUGAGGGCUCUACCCUCAUGAUCUAAUUACCCCCCAAAGGUUCCACCUCUAGACACUAUCACAUUGGGGAUUACAGCUUCAAAAUAUAAAUUUUGGUGAGACACAUACAUUUGGUCCAUAGCACUGACGUCGUCUCAUUUUGUAGUCCAAUAGCAGGAAAAAGAGGGUCAAUUAUCCCCACUUUAUAGAUGAGGAAGAUGAGUUCUGAGACAGGGUACGGAGGUAGAGUAGAGGGGGAAAGAAGCUAGAUGAAGGGCGUCAUAUCCCCUAAUUUGUCCUGAGGUAGGGAGGGGGAGAGCUGGUAGCUGUCACAUGAGUGGUCACUAUAUAGACAAAUAGUGGGGCCCACUUCCAGGGCAGGACUCAGAAGCACUAGUGGAGGGUCCAGUCCAGAGAAGGGACUCCACAAAUGAUGCCGCUGUAAUUAUUGUCUGAUCAUCUAUUCAUCACACAUUUUCUGAGUACAUCCUCUGUGGUGAGCACUACUCAUAUGUUCUUUAUCAUCCUCAUGGACAUGACACCCCACUUGGCCUGCGGUGGCUGGAGACCUGGGGAGGAGUCAUAUCACAGCUUUUAGACCCACUCUGACAUCGAGGUUAAAUGCAACUUUAGGGCCAGCAAGUACAAGCCUUAUUCUGCCACUUACUAGCUGCAGGGCCUGGGGUGGCACUUGGCCUCCCAAGGGAAGGUGCUCUUUUCCCCAUUUUACAAUUGAGAGGACAAGAUAUGAGAGGUGAAAAUACAGACCUCCCUGACUAGAAUUCAUUCUCCCAACCACCAUGCACACUAGUGUUUCCCAGAGGUGGUCCUGCAGGCUUCAGAAUCUUGUGAGGUGUUUGGAGAGUGAUUCCUGACCCCUCCUCCGACUCAGUAAAUCUUGACAGUGAGGCCCCAAAAUAUGAAUUCUUCACAAGCUCUGAAGGUGAUUCUUAUGUGUGUUGGGGCUUGAGAAUUGGCUCUCCUGCCUCCUCAUUUCCAGUCUUUAAACAGGGAUCUGCACAGCAGCAGGCAGCAGAAGUAGGCAGCGCUCUGGAAAUACAGUUGGCAAAAGCUCUCUCCCUUAAAACUAACAGGGAGAGAGCUAACUCCAUGACUGGCAUGACAUCUGUGAACAAAGGAAGUGACAGGGCCACCAAGAACUGCUGUGGGCCAGUGAGAGCAACAGAAGACCAGGUCCUAGCCUUCCCUGCUGAGAACUUUACCCAUUGCCUAGUGAGAAGGAACUGGAGAUGCCAUCAGAGCUGCAUCGUAGUAAUGCUGGUAGAUUUCAAUUUUUACAAUUUAUAUUUGUUAUGAAUGUAUUCACCAUUCCUUAGAGUAUGUUUAAUUAUCCUCAGUCUUUGUUCUGCUUUUAAAAUCCACAUUGAAAAGGCAAAGUGACAUGUGCUUAAGAGGUCUUUAAUAAAUACUUUGGUCAAGAACAGGGAGGGGGUAGUUUAAUUCCUCCUGAUUAGACCCGCCUACUUCCCGGCCAUCUGAAAUUUAAAUUUAAGUAAAAGUCAGUAUGCUUUCUAAAUAAAUGCAGUUUCACAACACAACCUUUAGCCCACACUCAAGCAACUAUAUGGCUGCCCCUAAUUCCUCCUCUAUUGACAUUCAGGAGCUGCCAGGGUUUCUGUAAAAGUACCUGAACACAGUGGAUCAACCAACAGUGGCUCUGGGGUUUAGAGUUUUGAGCAGCAGCUCAGAAUGAUAUCCAUCUGCCUUUCUGAAUCACAGCCAACUUCUGGCCUCUCUGCACAGAUUUGGUGCAGGAAACUAGCCAUACCCACGCCCACACCCACAGCUCGCCCCGUGCCUCCUUCAUCUUCAUAAUUCUGCUCCCACCCUCUUCCCUCUUCCUUGCCCUUCAAGUUGCAACACUGAACUGAGUUUAUGGAUGAUGCUCAACAAUUUAUUGUUGAUUAACUGAUUGAUUGAUUCUGUUGCUAUGGAAACCAUCAGAUUCUAGUACAACAGUGGGAUUCCUUCCUGACUUUAUGCUUGACAAAAUGCUGACUCUCUGUGCUUGCUUCUCCCAGCUUGCCACCUCCAUCUGGGUCAGGAGGAGCAAUUGGAAGCAGAAGCUCCAAGAGAAAGGUGGGAAUGUUGGUAAACCCAGGUGAAAAAAAGCAACAAGGAGGGUUGCUAGGAGAAAUGAAUGAAAUGAUACAAGUAAGGUAGAAAGCAGAGUGCUUUCUACAAGCCAAGAAGUGGCCCCCCAACAGAUACCAAGCUCUGGACCUCCUGGUGCCUUGAUUUUGGACUUCCCAGCCUUUUUCAGACCUGUGAGAAAGGUCCGCCGCAUCUUGGAAGGAAACUUCAAAGCUCAUUUAAAGUCAGCCUCUCACAUAGCCCUGCUGGUCUAACUUUCUUCUGAAUGUGAUUUCAGAAGUAAAACCAGGCCAGGGGCUGGGACUCAGGUGAGUCUCACUGACCGUGACCUCUGGAGAGUCAACUGAAAUGGAGAGACAAAUACCAAGGAGAUAUCAGGAAGAAUAUUGUCCCCAGUAAAUACCAAGUCACAUCAGGAAGAAUAUUGUGGAGAGAGAGGUAAAGAAUCAGGAUGGAAACAGAAAAUAGGCCGAACAAUGGCCAAGCGUCAAAAUCCUACGUCAGGACAGUGCUAGGACUGCUUUUUUCUAUAUCAGACACGUGGGCUCCUGCUGUGUCUUCCUGGAAAGCAGAGGCCAAGGAUGGAGCAGACCAAGAGGAUGCCAGGAAAAAUCACAAAGAAGCCCAGAAAGCACAGCUGGAAGCCAAGAACCCUAUUUUUGGUUUGUGUGGGUGGAAGGUGAGGGACAACAUAUAGUGACCAACAGGAUUCUUCAUUUGAAAGAGAAUGGAGUACAUCAGACCUGUGUAUUUAGGUGAAGUAUGAUAAACAUCAUCAUACUUCAAAGAUUAUGAACAUCAAAGAUUAUGGAAAGGAACAUGACUGCUUAGUUUAUUCCAUUACCAGUGAUCUGCUUGUUUGUUCAUUUGCUUACCCAUCCAUUCAUUUAUUCAUUCAUUCCUCCAUCCAUUCUCUUUCACUUAUUCUACAAUCAUGAUUGUAUGCCUACCAUAUCGCUAGAGAGAGGGCAGGAAAAGAUCCAAGGAUGUGAAUACAAUCUUCUGCUUCAUGAUGAGAGCUAAAGGAAUCUGUAAAGACUUUGUCUUUUUCAUUUUUCUCUCUCCUACAUAGACCCUGGAAAAUGUUUUAUUUCUUAUAAUUUGCCUGAGGUUUACUCAUCCACUACCAGAGCUCUGAAAACACUCUUCAGAACACUAUUUUAAAAUAAUGACAAUGACAAUAAUAGAUAACAUAUAUUCAGUGUUUUUUGUAUGUGAAGCAAUGUAAUAACCAUUUAAAAUGAUUGUAACUAUACUUUAUAAGAGUAUGAUGAAACAGGCACUAUUAAAAUGCUAGUUUUUCACACAGCUAAUAUGAGAGAGAGCUGGGAUUUGGAGCCUCCAUUCAUGGCCAUUAUAUGGUCUGUCUAAUGAAUGAAAUGUUUGACCUUAGAGAAAACUUGAAAUGCAUAGUUUUCUUUGCUGACUUGAAUGAUAUAAGUUUAAAAAUCCGAUAGUGGUUGCUAGUUGAAAAUUCCUAUUCCUUGGGAAACUGUUGAAAGUCUGUUUAGUACUAACCCCCCUCAUUAAUGGCCAUUUGCAAAGCCAGGCCAAGUUUAGUCUUCUACCAGCACUGAAGAAACACAUUUUUACCCAGAAGAAAUGAGGGUGAAAUCCUCUGAUAACUGGAAGAUGCUGGAUGUUCUGGAAAGAAAAGUAAUUUUUUUUUCAAUCUCUGGAAAUUGCUUUUUUUGUUUUAAGUAAGGGUGGCUCAGUAGAUGCUAACAGAGAAGCUGGGAUCAGCUAAUCUGGAGAAGAUUCUGAGAGAAUGAGUUGGGGAAGCUCACACUGAGAAAAUGAGAAGAUUGGUAGGAAGGGCGGUUUCUUGCUGUGUCCAAGAACAGGAAUUGAGAAAUGGUAUUAAGCUGAAGGUGAGAGGGGAACAAAGAAGACUUUGAAAGUUGCAUACAGGUUUGAAACAAAGUAUACCACAAGGAAUGGGAACAUGUAGAGCUGUUUUAAAAAUGUUUCUGUGUUUGUGUGAGUGUGUGUACUAGAUAUAUUUUUAAAAUGACUUUUCUCGGAAUUACAUCAUACUUUGAAGAUCAGCAUAGGAAGUGAAGAAGGAACAAAUAUUCACUGAGAGCAUUCACUAAGGGCCAGGAGCUCCCUGAAUACCACAUAUGCCACCGCUCUCUCUUGUGAUCCUGAAGGUCUGUGAGGCAGUUAUCACUAUGUAUGGUAUAUUUUCAAAGAAAGCAAAUAAAACCCAAUGUGACUAAGAAAGAUGCUAAAGUCAUACAGCUAAUUAGCUGUGGGUCCAGGAUUCAAACCAGUGCACCCAGCACAUGGUCUUCAAUAAAUAUUUAUUGAGCAGUGAAUACAUGAAUGAGUAAAUAAGAUGAAGCAAGCAAGCAAGCAGGUAGGCUUGUCUAACCCAAGUGUUCAUGUUCUAUCCUCUGUACUGGUGGUUUUUAAAUUGUGUGCCACAAAGGCCUUGGGUAACAUGAGGAGGGUUAGUAUGAGUGGCUGUCUAGCAGCAUGGGGCCCCAGGCUCCCUAUCUCUACUCCAACCAGGGCAUCUCUGCUUCUGUUUGUGUUAAACAUUGGGCUUUUGCCUGAGGUUUCAUUUGAAGAAGAGGGCCUUCUUCUAGAAAGUGUUUAUUACUCCUGCCCCAUGCCGUGUUCCCUCCUAAGUAUGCAUUAUGAACUAGUUAAGUUUAAUAAAGACAUAUAUUACUGUAAAGUUGGAAUUUAUACCAGUGUCUGAAUUCCAGUAGCAGCCCCCAUAUCUUGGUAAUCGAAAGCCAACUGUUUCUAAUAUCCGGCAUGCUGCUGAGGCCAUUAACAAUAGAUGAGCCAUCUAGGGCAUUAUGGCUAGCAGCCGGGACUACAACUUCAAGCUGUCUAGGUUCAACUGUGGCUCUGCCAUGACCUGGUGAAAUCUCAGGUAAAUGAUUCGACCUCUCCACACUUUAGCUUCCUCAUCCAUGAAAUGUGAUAGCUACCUUAUACAGCAUGGAAACUUUGUGCUCCAGUAAUAUGAAUGGGCUCACUAUAGCCAAGUGCACUUAGUUCCCUUGAUCUCACGUUUUUGUUUAUGCUGGCUCCCAACUUAAUGUGGUCUUCUCACUUUUCAUCUGACUGUGAAAACUCCAACCAAAGGUACUUAUAUUCCUCCCACUCAAUAAAUAUGAUGGCCUUGGUGUCAGUAAGGCGACAUGUGAAGAGAGAUAUCAGUCUGGCUUGCCAUACAUUACAAGAAUUUGCAGGCUUACCCUGACAGUCCUAGUCCAUGGGAGUGGGUGAUGGGGUACUAUUGUGUCACUGUCCGGGGUCCUGAAUAAUUAAAGAGUGCACAGUGGCUUUUACAAGAAUACUAAGAAUUAUUUAUUUGUUAAGGUAACACUAUCUGCUGUAGUAGGUAACCCUCUCUACCCCCAAAUCUGAGUAGCUUACCAUAUUAGAAGUCUUUUCCUGUUCUCAUAGGGUUCCAUUGGUGCUGGGGGUGAGGAGGGGAGGUGGUAAAGGGGUUUGUUCCACACAACCAUUCAGAGAUUCAUAUUGAUGAAGACGGCCAUCUUCAACAUAUAGUUUCCAGAGUUGUUCUGGGCUCAGUAUUUAGACUCCAGGUGGUAUAUCAGAGGAGAGAAGGAGAGUAGAGAACUGUGUGGCAGAUUUUUAUGAACCAGAUCUAGAAGGGACAUUCAUCACUGUCACUGGGAUGCUGUUAAUUAAAACUCGAGCAUACAACCAUUCCUAAGAAUAAAAGAGGCAGUGGGAUGUUGCUUAUUUGUGAGUUCAUUGGAAAAUCACUAGCUUGUUUUUGCCACAAAAUAUUUUUUAUGUUGUUACCCAAUACCCCCCCCCACUGAGACACACACACACACUCAACACAAAUACAACUAGAGCAAAAAAUUCAUUAAAUAAUCCUCUGUGUGUGAUAUAGUCUCAUAGUUUCUAUUCUAUUUUAUUGUUUUAAAGUGCUGUCAUGACCCAUUAAACUGUUAUUAUGGCUGAA